CCUACGGGUGGCAGCAGUGGGGAAUAUUGCGCAAUGGGGGCAACCCUGACGCAGCAACGCCGCGUGAUUGAAGACGGCCUUCGGGUUGUAAAGAUCUUUAAUCGGGGACGAAUUUUGACGGUACCCGAAGAAUAAGCUCCGGCUAACUACGUGCCAGCAGCCGCGGUAAUACGUAGGGAGCAAGCGUUAUCCGGAUUUACUGGGUGUAAAGGGCGUGUAGGUGGUUUGACAAGUUAGUAGCGCAACUCCGGAGCUCAACUUCGGAACUACUACUAAAACUGUUGGACUUGAGUGCAGGAGGGGCAAUCGGAAUUCCUAGUGUAGCGGUGGAAUGCGUAGAUAUUAGGAGGAACACCAGUGGCGAAGGCGGAUUGCUAGACUGUAACUGACACUGAGGCACGAAAGCGUGGGGAGCAAACAGGAUUAGAUACCCCUGUAGUC
This 441-nucleotide ribosomal RNA is filed under the name uncultured bacterium. RNAcentral describes it as "partial 16S ribosomal RNA". It matches the Rfam family "Bacterial small subunit ribosomal RNA", at positions 338 to 795 of the family's 1533-position model. The record is from RNAcentral.